RNAcentral lists this ribosomal RNA (219 nucleotides) under uncultured bacterium. Its description in RNAcentral is "partial 16S ribosomal RNA". It matches the Rfam family "Bacterial small subunit ribosomal RNA", at positions 524 to 743 of the family's 1533-position model. The record is from RNAcentral.
UACGUAAGGUCCGAGCGUUGUCCGGAUUCACUGGGCGUAAAGGGUUCGCAGGCGGAAAUGCAAGUCAGAUGUAAAAGGCAGUAGCUUAACUACUGUAAGCAUUUGAAACUGCAUAUCUUGAGAAGAGUAGAGGUAAGUGGAAUUUUUAGUGUAGCGGUGAAAUGCGUAGAUAUUAAAAAGAAUACCGGUGGCGAAGGCGACCUACUGGGCACAUUCUGA